CCUACGAGCGGCAGCAGGGAGGAAUAUUGGUCAAUGGACGAGAGUCUGAACCAGACAAGUAGCGUGAAGGAUGACUGCCCUAUGGGUUGUAAACUUCUUUUAUAAAGGAAUAAAACGAGGCACGUGUGCCUUUUUGCAGGUACUUUAUGAAUAAGGAUCGGCUAACUCCGUGCCAGGAGCCGCGGUAAUACGGAGGAUCCGAGCUUUAUCCGGAUUUAUUGGGGUUAAAGGGAGCGUAGAUGGGUUGUUAAGUCAGUUGUGAAAGUUUGCGGCUCAACCGUAAAAUUGCAAUUUAUACUGGCAGUCUUGAGUACAGUUGAGGUAGGCGGAAUUCGUUGUGUAGCGGUGAAAUGCUUAGAUAUCACGAAGAACCCCGAUUGCGAAGGCAGCUUACUAAACUGUGACUGACAUUGAUGCUCGAAAGUGUGGGUAUCAAACAGGAUUAGAUACACCUGUAGUC
This 460-nucleotide ribosomal RNA is filed under the name uncultured bacterium. RNAcentral's name for it is "partial 16S ribosomal RNA". It matches the Rfam family "Bacterial small subunit ribosomal RNA", at positions 338 to 795 of the family's 1533-position model. The record is from RNAcentral.